AUUGGCUAGAAACUGCAAAUCACUGUAAUCCUACAUUUUGAAUUGUCUUUUUCAGCAAUCAUUGGUAGAGGUUUCAGUAAUGACAGUCAGGACGAUCUUUGUUGGUCCAACAAAUCUUACUAUUCACUAAAUGCUAAUAGAAAAAGAUAAGAGUGGAAAGUAAGUAGGUAUUUUGUGCUGUGUUUUAUGAUUUGCUUAUGUAAAAGUUUCCCUAAAAGAUGUUUUCUAAGAUUGUCCUUGCUAUUAUCUUUAUACCUCCGGGCCCAGUUGAUGUGUCCUUGUGAGUCCAGCUCCAGCUGGGUCACAUUUUAGGACAGGGAAUAAUGGCUCCAAUAUUAUCUUCUAAAUCACUACACCAGUGCUGGAAAGGGCCUUACCCAGUUACUGAAUCAGAAACUCCGGAGAUGGGCCCAAUAAUCUGUGUCUUAAGACAUCUUCUAGGUGAUUUUGAAGCAUGCUCGAGUUUGCGAACCACUGCUGUAAGCCAGCCAUCUGCAAGCCGUGACCCAUGUGCCAAAUCCGGCCUGCUACCUGAUUUUCUACAGCUGUGACUAGCACAUGUGGUUGCAUAGAGGAAGAACUCAAAGAGAUUGCAUCGUUUGUCAAACCAACUGAUUUAGGAGCAUCGUCUUGGAGGAUGACAUUAUGGUGAAGAGUCAAUAAGCCUGGCUAGCAUGGAUGAAGUAAAAUCCAGGUCAUGAACUGACACAUGAAAGGAAAGAUUAUCUCCUAUCAAGAAGACCUGAUAAGAGAAAAGAAGAGGAUGGUCUAUGUAUUCUUGACUCUGCAGGGUUGGCCACCAGUUUCCCUCUUAGAAUGAGGACCUGAUGAAGCUCUUAGAAUUGGGACUGUCAGGUAAGACAUCACAAAGACUGCCAUUCCCUUCUUGGGCAAUGCCCAUGAGGGUCAGAUGAUCCACCCUGAUGUGGAGUGGAGGAUCAAGGACCAUGGCUCCAUCUUGGAACCUGGGCUAAUUGUGGA
Molecule: long non-coding RNA, 981 nt
Organism: Trichechus manatus latirostris (Florida manatee)
Lineage: Eukaryota; Metazoa; Chordata; Mammalia; Sirenia; Trichechidae
Exons: 3
Source: RefSeq, a predicted model, not a curated record